AAUAUUGGUCAAUAGCCUAACGGCUGAACCAGCAACUUGAAAGAAUGUAUAGCGAAAGCUAGUUGCGUCUAACUAUAAACAAAUAGUUGGUGUAAUAUUGACUCGAUUAAAUAAAGUUCUGGGUGGAUUAUGAUGAUGACAUUUUCUAUCUAUGUGUCUUGACCAAAUUACGUGCCAGCAGUCGCGGUAAUACGUAAAAGACUAGUGUUAUUCAUCUUUAAUUGGUUUAAAGGGUACCUAGACGGCUAAUUAAACCCCCUAAGGAGGGUACUAUUAAGCUAGAGUUUCAUAUAAGAGGGCAUUAAAGUACUGAGAAUGUAGAGAGAUGAAAUUCUGUGAUACUAUAUAUGGCACUGGUAAAGGCGAAAGCAUCCCAUUAUGUAAUAACU
RNAcentral lists this ribosomal RNA (389 nucleotides) under Calicium adspersum. Its description in RNAcentral is "mitochondrial SSU rRNA". It matches the Rfam family "Bacterial small subunit ribosomal RNA", at positions 360 to 741 of the family's 1533-position model. The record is from RNAcentral. Lineage: Eukaryota; Fungi; Ascomycota; Lecanoromycetes; Caliciales; Caliciaceae.